GCCGCGCCCGCCCAUUGGCCGGCGCGCGGCUCGCCAUGGGAACGGAGGGACGCGCGGGCGCCCGAGGGCCGUGAGGGGCCCGUCGCUCCCGAGUCCCCCGCGGCCGCGGGAAUUCCCGUGUGCCCGGCCCGCCCCGGCCCUCGGGCGCCUUUCCCUGGCUCGACAGCAACGCGCCGUGGAGAGCCGGGCUUUAUUUAGCUGCCUGAUUCCAAGGGGCCAGCACCCGUCCCAUAAAAGACGGCGGUAGUGAAACUCCGGAGUCCUGGGGUGAGGCUCAGAGCCAAGCCCUGGUCAGGAGGGGGAAACACCAGGCAAAAAGUGGCUCUGGGGUCAGCUGUUGCCUAGGGCGGCUCAGGAGAAGCAAGGAUGUGACAGACCCAAACAAGAACCUUAAAAUAGCCCCUGCAGUCUACACGUGUAAAAUCACGCACAGUCGAGACACACACGCAAAAAACCCCCCUACUCGGUUUUCAGGACUUCAAUUGUUCAGAUCCAUGAAAAACAAGACCUGUGGCAGCCCUGCAGACAACUCGCUGUGUAGCUGUGUCAGUAAACCCAUCAGGACACACAUGAAGCUUUUGUGCUUUAAAAAUAACUGCCUGCCUUGAUCCAUGCCUGUAUUCAGAAGGAGACUGAAGUUAAAAGAUGACAGGGUAUAGGACACACUGGUUCCAUGCUUCAAAUUACAGCUCUUCAUUAGUGAUAAUGAGGAUCACCUGCUAUGCAUAGCAGGCAUGUCAGGCAUGAAAGAAAACCAUUAUUUGCAGUCAGUCAACAUGCAAAUGUUUCAAGCAUGAGUAGCCUUAUUCCACUUAGAGUAUAUUAACAUAAGCAAUACCACGGGGCAGCAUGUUUUUAAUCCGGCUCUGAAACAGAACAUUUUCUGUUAAGUCACUGAAAAGUCCACGGGGUUCUGUUUGCAUUUCCUGCGCAUAAAGCAGCCCCAGAGCCGAGCCGGAGCAGGCUGAUUGCAGCGUGCCCUCCUUGCUGUGCUCUGUGUGUGCAUCCCCAGCGCUCACAGGAAUGGAUUUCACACGGCUGACGCUGGAGUUAACAACCACUUGUUAGUUUCCACAGCAAGAGCUGCUUGGAGCUGGCGCUGGAAGUGCCCGUGUGCCUUUUCUGUGCAGCUGGAAAUGAACCAGCGUGGCUGAGAAACAGGGAACGGACACUUCAGCAGAACUGGAGAUGAGCUUCUCCUGGAUUCUGCUGUGAAUGGCAUGCGUUUUUCUUUGUAAAGUUUCUGCGGCACAUGGAAAAUGCCAUGAAGGGGGGCUUUCAGAGUCCUGCACGGGCCUAUUGGGCAAGGUCCUAUUGUCGAGAUGUCUUUGUGGGGAUACCGUGGAAAAUCGCCCGUUAGGGAUGGUGAAUGCAGGAGGAAAAGCAGCUCCUUCUCACAGAGUGCCGCCUCCCGUACAUCCACUUAAGGAUUUCGUUUCCAUCCCUCUUGGAUUUGUUUGCGAGUUAAUACAUUAUCCCCUGCCCUUAAAGAAGGUUCAAAACGCUUAUGGCAUGGACGCAACAGCAUCAAUCCAUAUCAAAGAGUUAUCAGCACGUUUCUCUGCCCGUACACUGUGCAUGAGCUAAUUACAGAAGCACAGCAAUGCAGUAGUUUCCCAGAAGGACCAUUAAGAGGAGGACCACUGGCAUGAUAGGCAAUGGAUAGCAAACUGGAAACCACAGAAUAUUUUAGCACCACACUCUGUGGGAUGGUGGCCACCACAUGGAGCAAAAGCUUCAGCGUUUUUGGAGACUUUGGCUUGAGUAGGCAGUGGCAACAACUCAGUUUGGAGAGGCAUGAAAUUUUAAGAGAAAGACAAUCUCCUCUGAAUCCCACUCCUAUCAAAGAUGCAAAACCACCAUCCUCCACUGAGACUUUGCUGAAAAAUUCUGCUUGAUAGAGGCCACAAUAUUGCCCAGUGCUGCACCUUCCUGACAGUCUUGUCUCUGUCAGCUCCUGGUAUACAUUCCUUCAGGUAAGAAAUUUAAGAAGCUGCUAAGAAAUCAUCAGCAACUAAAUAGGCUCCAGUUGUACUAUUCUGCUGCUGGUAAAUUGUUCAUAGUAUCAGUAGGAGUGCAUGGAUCUCAUUUUUCAGUCAGUGGGACAGCACUGUGAAUGACUUUUUGCAGCUGUAGAAGAAUCCACAGAAGUCUAUACAUUGGAGGAAAUCACUGAAGAAGUUCCUGUUGGACAACUAUCAGUCGAACCAGUCUCAAUCAGGGAUUCCCUCCAACUCUUGAGCGCUGGUUAACAAGACAGUCUCCUCAACUCAGUCCUUCUCAAGUUUGAUCUCCCAAGCUGAGUAUCAGUUGUACCUGUGAGCCAGGUUCUGUCUGUGCUCCAGUGAAAUUGCAGUCCAUGCUCCAUUGCUUUCCGCUGGCACAACAAAUGUCUGUUGUCAACUAAGGAUAUUUUUAUACCUAAGCCACUGUAUAUGCAGCUCAUACUUGAGCCUAAGAAAAACUGGAUCAAAUGCUUUAUUAUGUGUAUAUAUGCUGGUGUCAAGCAUUGAAAAGUUUUCUAAAAUUUGGAUAAUUAACAGUCCACUACAAGCAGUGAUUAAAAUACUUCUAAAUCUUUGCCAUUUGGAUUAUCAUUCACAUUCUGAAUCAUUCAUCAGGGUUUCCUGCAAAAUUAGAAGUUUAGGAGUACGAAGCUGCACAACUUGUCUUGGGCAAACACCCCCAUCUUAAAAUUUUGUGCCUGAUCUAUCCAAAUACACCAAAUGUUUUCAGAAUCAUUCACUGGGACAUGAAUGUGCCAAAUGAAAAAAAAAAAACAACCCUGUAACUUUCUGCAUCUCAUCACCUCUCAAAUAAUUUCUUCAGGUAAUCCAGCUCUUGAAUCAAGUCUUACAUAGCUGGUGUCCACUCUUUGCUUGCCAACAGAUCAAUCCAAUAAAUGUGAAUUAUUUGAGGUCAGGAGGAAUUGAAAGUGUGCAAUUCAAUAGUGCAAGCCGGUGCUGUGCAAGAUUGUUGUGCUCAAUUGUCUUGUAAGAAACCCCAUAAAUUAUAAUAAUUAAACUAUAAAACUUUGUGACAGCUUUGAUCCAGUUGCCUAGACAGAACCUAAAGCAAAACACAAAUGGAUGGAUAUCUCAUCUUCUGGGAAGGGAAGUGAUCUACCACAGUUGUUCCCUGAAUAGAACAGACACUUAGCUAUAGAUUUGAAAAGAUUUGAAGCUCGAGGGGUAUCAGCUGCUUUACGUUUCCGACUCUUGAGACAAUUUCAUGCUUCUCUGCCUGCAAGAUUCUGGAUGCACAUCUGAGCACCUUGUCUGGUAGUUCUGAGGCUCUUUAUAACCCUGAGAACCUAGAGAAUAAAGGAAGGAAACAACAUAUAUUUCUUGAAUGAAGUGGCUAAAUAGCACUUGUGAGUCAUGAUAUGAAAGGAAAUAAUUUGAAUUAGGUGAGAUGUGCAUGGCAGCGUAACGGAAAGAGAGUCUCCUCAUUUUCAUCAGCUAAUAAUCAAAACAUUUUGACAAAACUUCUAAAAGAAGCCAAAAAUAUGGAAACAAUUAUUUAGAGAAGAAUACAGCAAAAUUAUGUAUAUGCUUGUAUUUUGCAUCUUAAGGUAAACUGUACUUUUUUGUUUCCAGAUGGAUAUCCCAGGCAAAUAUAUAGACCCAGAAAAAAAAAAGCAAGAUCUCUAAGUGAUGUAAACAAUCUCACAUGUACAAAUAUAUAUUUUUUAGUUCCAUACUUAAGUUACCAUGUUAAUUCCAGUGCUUAACAAUUGUAUGUGCAAUUGAAGAGCAGAAGAAAUAUUCUUGUCACUUACAUAAAGAAGUUUUUUUAAAAGUCAAAAAGUGCAUGCCUUCUUUGAUGUACUAUUUGGCAGCCAUUUUGACCUUGUUCUUUCUGCUAGGGUUUCAAUGUCAAUGGCAACAUUGUGCAAAUAACAGAUUUUAAAUAUGAAUUUGUUUUUUAUUCAAAACAGUUACCUGCCAAGUCUGAGGUUUAAAAAAUCCCAGACAUAAUUUUUUACCUGGGUGAAAAGAAAGCAUCUUAAACUAUAUUGUGAUCUAGUAACUUAGAAGAUUUCAGAAUCCUGUUCUGUCAUACUUGGCAAAGAUCUCUCCAGACUCAGACCAAACAAGGGGAACUGCCCUGAAAAAAACUUUUUCCAAAAUUAUGAAUUAGAAUCAGAUUUUUAUAAAUACAUAUAGUCACAUGAACAAUGUAUUAUUGCUGUUUUCUUAUUCAAAAUUUUCCAUCAUUUUUGCUUGUUCAUCGUUCACUUGUUUGCAAAAACAUUUGCUAAAUGAAUAGGGACUUUGAAUGGAGGAGGACAGACGGAUUAUGUGUUACUGCUGAUUCAAAACGACACACUGCAAACAAAAUACCAUUUUGCAAAGAUACAUUUCAUAUUCUCCAAGGAACUGAGCACAGCCCUCAAAGUUAAAGUUCAGUUGCUUUUAUUUCCAGUCCAUGUAACAUACUUAAUGAUUGCUGAGUUCACACUUUUCCUCUUCCUGAAUUGUGGACCAUAUGAGAAAUACUUUUGUAUACAUGUUAGAUAUCUACAAUAAAAGGCAAACAUGAAGGUGCAGCAAAGGCCUUGCAUUAAUAUUGUAAAUUGUGGGAAUGAAGAAGAUGUUGUAAUGAAGAGCAAGGAAUCUCCUUCUUGCAGAAUAUCAGAUCUAAUUUCCUUAUGAAGUUAUCUGAAUUGGCAAAUGGGACACCAAAGUCCUUCAUCCACAGAGCAGAAAUGAGGUGGCAGUCAAAGUACUAGUAUGGAAGUAGGAAGCAGAAAGAGUCUGACAGAAAAUCAUAUAAACACAUAAAAAUGCAAUCAGAAAUAAUAAAGAAUGAUAAAAUAUAGAAAGAAGGUACGCUAUUGGUAACAAGAAGGCAUUCUGCAAAUACAUUAGGAAGAGGACAGAGCUGGUCCACUGCUCAAAGAGGAGGAAAAGCUAAAAAUAGAUGCCACCAAGAUGGUUGAAGAAUUAAUGAAGUUUUGCUUCAGUCUUCACUAAGAGGGGUGCACUAGGAAGAGCACUGUUAGCAGGCAGAGGGAGGUGAUCCUGCCCCUCUGCCCAGUCCUGGUGAGGCCACAUCUGGAAUGCUGUGGUCAGCUCUGGGCUCCCCAGCACAGGAGAGGCAUUGAGCUCCUGAAGCAGGUCCAGUGGAGAGCAAAGAAGAUGAUGAAGGGACUGGAGCAUCUCUCUUAGGAAAGGCUGAGGGAGCCGAGGCUGUUCAGCCUUGGGAAGAGAUGAACUAGAGGGAACCUCACCAAUUUCUGUCAGUAUCUGCAGGGAGGUGCCAAGGGCAUGGACCAGGCUCUGCUUGGCAGUGCCAGGCAAUAGGACCAGAGGCAAGGGGCAGAAACUGAUGUGCAGGAAGUUCCACCUGAACACAAGGAAGAACUUUCCUAUGCAAGUGACUGAGUGCUGGAACAGAUUGUCCAGAGAGGGUGUGGAGUGUCCCUCACUGGAGAUAUCCCAGAACUCUCUGGACAUAAUCCUGUGCCAUGUGCUCCGGGAUGACCCUGCUUGAGCAGGGAGAUUGGAUCAGAUGACCCAUUGUGGUCCCCUCCAACCUGACCCAUUCUGAUUCUGUGAAAAAAUGAUGGCAUUUUUGAUACAAUGCAUAAUUAAUACAUUUUAUCAGUGCAAAAAAAGACCAGUAUGGUUAACAAGUAUCUGCAGCUUCACUAAAUAACUUGAAGCAUGUGCAUAAACUGUAAAACUCAUUACUGAAUAUCUGCAAAAUUAAUAAUUCAGAAAAGGAUUUUUUGUAAUCAAUAGCAAUACUACAUAGAAAAAAAAUAUGUUGUGGGGCAAAAGGCAGGCACUGGAUGGUGGCUGGCUCUUCUAGGGAUGGCUUGGAUGUGGCUUUAUUUAAUUUCUGACAUGGAUACAGUGAAAUGGAAAUCCCUCUGGUGAGACAGGGGCUGUAGAAGCAGCAUUUCCUAGACCAGAACUAUUAGUACUCACAGAUGCUUGUAACAAUUGUGAUAGACAAAAAAGAGAUGAUAAAUAUGACCCCAAAGAACACUGCUAUAAAGAUGGCUGUUUAUCCAAAGUGAAGAACUGGUAUCAUCAUACAUGCACAAGUCCUUUCGGAGGUGUUUUAUAUACAUAUCCUGAAUUUAUAAGGAUUCUACUUUUCCUGGGAGGAAGCUAGCACCAUUUCUCUUAUGUACAACUCUCUUUUAAGGAAAACACAGCACUGAUUCUACAGAAAGGCUGAAGAAUGCCGUUUGUGCAGUCUGGUAGUUGGAUCAUUCUCAUGGGCGGUGGCAGAUGUAAAAGAACUUGGGUUUCCCACAAGAGUAAGUUGGCAGUGUGUGAGAGGUAAACAUUCUUCUGCUUUUGGGUGGAAAUAGCAUCAUAUGGAUUUUUUGGAAUUUCAUUGUCAACUUGGACUGAGGCAGCCUCUGGGUGACUGGGUUGAUGAUAUUUCCAGUACUGAGGAAACUGUGAGUGGAAGCUUUCAGAUGCAGCGUGAUUAAGUCAAGGAUAUAAAGAUAUGGAUCUCUGAGGAGCGAGGACAUGAACCCAAACAGGACUGAUUUGCUUUCCAGCUUUUUAAGAGCUCAUGUUAAAACACACAGCUCUGUCAGUGGAGCUCAAGAGGUAGCUUUUACAUUGCAGCUACACGGUGUCUGUAAUAGGGUUCAGUUGUCGUGCUAACGGUAAGUGAGGGAUCUGCAAAAAUUUUCCAGAUUUCUAGGAGAAAAAAAAUAAAAUGAAUGCAGUCUGCUUCACAUAACUGUCUGCAGUGAGCAAUAAAAUGGCUGUAACAGGGAUCACUGCUUUGCACAUGGAAAAAAUAUAGGUUUUCUAUAUACUUGCAAUGCAUUUGCUUAAAAUUUAUUAUAAGUGUAUUUAAAAUAUAUAUCCUCUGUAUAAAAUAGUCUGUUUAAAAUGGGACAACUUUGCCAAUUUUCUUAAUAUUUCAAAUAUGUGGUAUAACAAAAUGCAUUCAAAGUAUCAUUAGGAACUGAUACUUUUGGAACAUUUAAAUGGGCUUAUUUGUUGUCUUGAGUAUCUUUAAAGAAGCAUGUGUGUGGAGCAUUUUUCAGAUACAUAAAUUAGAAGAAGAAAAUUGAGAUUUUCCCCUCCCCUUCUGAGCAACCUGUGACAAGAUUUAGUCCAAAAUAUUAGCAGACAGCAGGCUGAAGGAAAAAAGUGCCAGAUUUUAUCCUGUAGACCAAGCAAGCACUGGAAAACACUGUCUUCAGAGAUCUCCAUCAUGUUCAGAAGCACUGAGAGCAGUACCCUUCAGAAAGGGGGUUUUCUCCUUUAACUUUCUCACAAGAGAAAGGAGCAAGUGUGGGGAAUGCAUUGGAUGGUGAUGCUGUUCUCUUUCUCUCUCUGCUGUUCCACAGUUGAGGUGGAGGUCAGGAUUCCACCGCUUCUGAAAGUGGCUAAAACAUCAGGAAAUACAGCACUACUGAAUUAUCCUCAAUAAAUCCUAAAUCUGCUGUGGGAGUUGGGAGAGGCAGCAGAGCCCUGGGUGAGGUGCACUGAUAAUGGUUCCUGCAGAGUGGAAAGGACAAAGAUGACACAACUUAGCACAGAACAAAGCAGCAUCAAGGCUUUAAGCGUGGCUGUUGCAAACCUCUUUGGGAUUCUAAUUUAUUUAUUUUUUUUGUACAACGGAUCUGUGUCAGUGCUUGACGCUUUUGAUGUCAGAGUUUUAUGUGGUGAAAGUGAUACAUCUUAUUACCCAGAUGGUCUAAGAAGGCAACAGCUUCUGGGAGUAAUCUGCUCUCCAGCUGACCUUUCAAACAUCUAGCCUCAAUGUUUCCAUGCUCACCAUCUUCAUUUUUUUAAGUGUAAAAGUGCGAGAAAAAUUGUCAAGAACUGAACAGCAACAUGAAGCUGAAAUUUUAUUUGGGUUGCUAAUCAGAACAAGAGACCUUAAUGCUGUUAAUAGAAACACUGGCAUAGUGUGACUUGAAGAUACCCACAUUUGAACGAAAUAGUUAAUUUUACAGCACAACUGAACAAAAAUCCUUUAAAAGCUGUGGAAGAGGCUGUUGUUGAUGCUAACAUAGGUUGAUAGCCAAGGCCUGAAAUUAAUAAGGGAGUCUAGCAAGGCAAGGCUUCUAAAUUACUGAGGAGACAGGAGAUGAACAGAGAGAAGAAAGCGCUUUUAAAAUCAGCUGAUCUACUUUAAAGCCAACCUGAGUACAGAUGGUAGGAGCUGAAAGCAGGAAGGAGAGAGUUUGCUAAAGUGUUCUGAACAAGUGCAGGACCCAGGCCCAAGAGGUGUUGAACAUUUCUGAUGAGGAAUCAGGUACCUUCAACAUUAUGUGACUGCAGAGUGUGCUCUGAAGCAGCUGAAACAAUAUUUGAAGGAAGAAUGUGGAAACAGUUUGGGCCACUGGGUAUGAGGCAGCAUGGUUGCUGUGCUAAUGAAAAUUUGGAACACCGUUGCAAACUGGAGUGCUUGGCAGAAGCAGGAAUUUCUCUGUGCUGUUUAUGAGGCAUAUAAAAAGGAAAACUGAAGAAAAAGGGAAAAAUGUUGAAAAAUUCUGCAGUUCCAGCUCUAUUUCUGUUGUUCUGUCUAUCAACAUAUUGCAAGAAGAAAAAGGUGAAACAAGAGGAGCUGAAACUAUGCAAAGAAAGGAGGCCAAGAACGUUGUAGAAAGAGGCAAGGCAUGUGCUGGAGAUGGAGCUGAAGGACUGGGGAUGCUGACAAGCCAGGUGCUGAUCCUUGAGCUCUGUUGUCUACAGCAGCAGACACAUUAAGCUCUUUGCCAGAGAUGUCGACUUUCCUGAACAAGCCUUUCAAGUCUUGCAAACUAUCUGUUGUUUUCCCAGUAGGCUAAUUAGGGUGGAUUAGCGCCCAUCAGAUAUGCCCUAGGGAUGAGCCAAAGGCUGAAGGGGAAGGUAAAUCGGAAUGCCAAAAACUUCCACCUUUGUGAGGCCCGAGAUACAAGUCUUCAUGGUCAGCACAGGAAAAAAAGGAGCACCUAGCACACAACUAUUCUCUGCUUAAAUUAAAACAGAAGCUGUCCUAAGACUCAAAAAGAAAAAAAAAAUUGUAAAAACCAACCACCUCAAAAAUCUUCCUCAUGCUGUCAUCAUCCACAGAAGUCAACAACAAAUCUCUGCUGAUAUGGCCAAGCCUCAAAAGCGUUUCCUGAUUCCAGCUAGUCACAAAAUGACUGUUUUACUGUUCCUGGCCAAGCACAUACCUACAUCAGGAUCAUGCACUGGUAGUGAGUGUGAGAAUGCUGCAAUCUUGUAUGUGCAGAGACAAAGCCAGGUCUGAUCCUUCUCACAUUGAAAAUUGAAGACAUUACUUAUAAAUCUGAGAACUAUGCUGAAAUAGUUACAAGAUGAUGAAGAGGAGCUUAAAAAUCCUGCAGCCCAAGCCAGGGCGGGCCUCCACCUAUGCAUUAAUUCAGCUGCACUUGCAUGGAGGGCCCAAAAUUACUACUGAAGAAAGUCAUCUCUGCUCCAGUAUUCUCUUGCCCCAAACCAAAGUGUUUUUGGGAUCACAUUGAACUGGACGUUCCCAAUGAUGAGCAUGAAUGCCUUUGUUGUGGUCAGUGAAAUUGCUAGUUUGAGUUGGGGCUCAAAAUCUCUUGCCGAGUCGUCUUCAGUUUCUGAUGAGUGGUGAGAUGAAGUCUGAACUGGCAAAAGAAAUGUGUUGGUUCUUUCUUCCACAAAAGGAGACAACAUCUGGAAGACAGUCUUUAAAUAGCAUUAAUUACAUCCUUUGAUUUUUCCUUUCAUAGGAGGACCGUGAAAGUGCAUCUCUUGGUGAGGACCAACAUAGAAUAACUGUGCUCUGGUACAGAACAAGAGAAGUGGAGAAUGCUGGCAGAGACCACAGUGGCCUUUUAAAAUCUAAACCCAGAGGGAAUAAUUCUGAGACUGAGUCAUCCAAUUUGGAGUACAUGCCAUAUCUGGACUCAGAUACCAGUUUCUGGCUCUGACUCUGCUCUCCCUUGUUGAGAAGGAAUGUCACGGAAGCCUUUGCAGUUUUUCACAGAAAAUGCAAGAGUCACUGUUUUAGUAUAUAAAUAGCCCAAAUUACAAAUAUAAUGAUGCAUUUGGAGCUGGAUUUUCACAAGGGAUUUUAGUUGGAGCUGUACAUGAUGGAUGAGAAGGACUAUGAGUGUCUGUCAUAAAGGUUUGAGCAGAAGAUGAUUGUGAGGUUUCCUUUCCUGGUAGGCCCCUCCUCUUAGUGAAAUUACAAAAGAUGCAAGCAAACACUAAAUGCAGGAAUUUAAAGCUGAUGAAUUACAGGUUACUUCUUGGAGCUGGAGAGCAGAAGUGAAGAAGAGGAGCCAGUCCAAAUGGCACAAAAGGCACACAAUUUGAAGUGGUGUGGUGUGACUCUGCGUGGGUUAAAGCCUUCUGGGAUUGUAUGGUGACACUCUGUGUACCAUGGCCAUCUCAACUGCGACAGGAUACAGAGUAAGAUUGCACCAGGAGUAAAAUUCUCCAGUCCACAUUUGUCUGGAAGAGAGCUGGCUGGAAGACUCCAAAGUGGAGCCAGGGAAUGAACUGAAAACUAUGUGGACAACGAGAAGGUUCAAUACUCAACUGAGACUCCUGGUCCUCUUUUCCUAAGCAGUAAAGGGAGCCUUGAAGGUGGCCAGGGUCAUCCCAGCAGUCUGAAAACUGAUUUGAAGCCUCAGAGGAGAACUAAAUAUCAGCCAAAGUUUACUUGAAAACGAGCCUGGGUUUUGCUCAAAUAAGCUAAUGAACCUUUGUGAACUUCCAAGACUGGGCUGAGUUUCAACUUUGGAACAAUACUUGAAGCCAGGCAAAGGACUGUAGUGAAGAAAAAGACUCGACUGGAAUAUUAGCAUCCACCCUGUUCUUACUUCAGAUAAAAGGCAUCUUUAAGAAUUAAUAGCACAGCCAUGAACUGGUUUAGAGAUUUCCACAUUGUAUUGAGAUGAUUGCUUGUUGGGGACUCAGCCUGCUAACCUGUGGAGAAAUUGUCUGGAGCAGCAGAAUUUUCUAGAAUUCCCUUUUGAUUGCAAUGACACAGCCUGUUGAAAAGGUUCUCCUGGGAUGUAAGAGCUUGAAGCCCCUGAAUUGGAAAGAUGCAGGAGUUUCUAAAAGGCCUUCUAAAGAAAUACAAGUUGUCUGAAUCACCAUAAGAAGAUACCUGGAGUGGCUUGUCUUGCAAUGCAGCUGCUUAAUCUGAGGUGGGAAAAGGUCUGUGCAGGCUUUAUCUGAUGUUUUAUAGAAAUCCAGCCAUGAGUCCUCAAACGAUUUGCUGUCGUGGGAUUACUAAAGUGUGUUAUCCUGUAGAUUCAUAAAAAGAGUUGAAAUGAUCACUGAGCAGUAUAUGACAAAAUAUCAGCUCCUUGCAACAGUCCUGGUCAAUUUUUACUUCCUUCAUUCGACAGUUAAGGACUAUUCUGAGAAUCUGACAGAAUUUUAAUUUAAAGUAAUAUUGAUCUUUAAACCACUAUGAACUCUGCUCAUAACCAAAUAAUUAGAAGAUCAAGCUGAGAAUCUCAGCAGCAUUUCAUUAAGAAAGGCCUAAUGCAAAGAAUUGGGAUUUUAGAAUGGCUAUGACAAAACCAUAUUAUAUGCUUAAAUACUUGGCUUGAUUUCUGGAGUGGAAAGAAGCCAAUAGUAUUUCAUGAUAAUACCAUUUAUUUAGAAUGUGACUUUGUAGGCAGAUUCUACUAAAAGUCUUAGUUGCAAAUGUUAUCCUUUUUAUUUUCUGGGGAAGACAACCUAGAAGUUGUUGCAGUUUCCAUUUUGAUCUGUAGAUGUUACCUUAAUUGUCAUAAUUUCAUGUGUUAUUUAAAAGGAAGAGUAAUUUCUAAUGGUAAAGAAGUUGGAUUUAUUCUGUAUCUCUUUUUAAAGGAAACAUACAACUUGAAUUGUGUACCUCAGGCUGUUUUUCCUUACUUUUCUUCUCUACCAGUGUUCUUUUUGAUUGCUUGGAUACCAUAUGCUACUAUAGCCCUUUUAUCUUUUUAUGACUGUCACCUGCAUCUGAGCUCCUGAUCCCUGACCACAGCUUCUCCUAAACCUCUGUGAAGCAUCAAAAAAAUUUAACAAAAGGCCAGAAAAAUGAAAUUUUUUUUUCUUGUUGUUAAAGGAUCUUAGUUGACUGUCCAGGUUAUCACCCUGCUAAUAAAUGAAAAAUGCAUUUAUUGA
Molecule: long non-coding RNA, 12098 nt
Organism: Passer domesticus (house sparrow)
Lineage: Eukaryota; Metazoa; Chordata; Aves; Passeriformes; Passeridae
Exons: 46
Source: RefSeq, a predicted model, not a curated record